UACGAAGGGUGCAAGCGUUAAUCGGAAUUACUGGGCGUAAAGCGCGCGUAGGCGGUUUGCUAAGUUGGAGGUGAAAGCCCCGGGCUCAACCUGGGAACUGCCUCCAAAACUGGCUGACUAGAGUACGGUAGAGGGUGGUGGAAUUUCCUGUGUAGCGGUGAAAUGCGUAGAUAUAGGAAGGAACACCAGUGGCGAAGGCGACCACCUGGACCGAUACUGACGCUGAGGUGCGAAAGCGUGGGGAGCAAAC
This 250-nucleotide ribosomal RNA is filed under the name uncultured bacterium. Its description in RNAcentral is "partial 16S ribosomal RNA". It matches the Rfam family "Bacterial small subunit ribosomal RNA", at positions 524 to 773 of the family's 1533-position model. The record is from RNAcentral.